CAGUCGCCGCGGGAAUACGUAGGUGGCGAGCGUUGUCCGGAAUCAUUGGGCGUAAAGGGAGCGCAGGCGGGCAUGUAAGUCUUUCUUAAAAGUUCGGGGCUCAACCCCGUGAUGGGAAAGAAACUACAUGUCUUGAGUACAGGAGAGGAAAGCGGAAUUCCCAGUGUAGCGGUGAAAUGCGUAGAUAUUGGGAGGAACACCAGUGGCGAAGGCGGCUUUCUGGACUGCAACUGACGCUGAGGCUCGAAAGCCAGGGGAGCGAACGGGAUUAGAUACCCCUGUAGUCCCUGUCUCUUAUACA
RNAcentral lists this ribosomal RNA (301 nucleotides) under uncultured bacterium. Its description in RNAcentral is "partial 16S ribosomal RNA". It matches the Rfam family "Bacterial small subunit ribosomal RNA", at positions 509 to 809 of the family's 1533-position model. The record is from RNAcentral.